CCUACGGGAGGCAGCAGGCGCGAAAACUUCGCACUGUGCGAAAGCACGACGAGGGAAUCCCAAGUGCUGGCUCGUAAGAGUCAGCUGUUUCUCUGUCUAAAAAACAGAGAGAGUAAGGGCUGGGUAAGACGGGUGCCAGCCGCCGCGGUAAUACCUGCAGCCCAAGUGGUGGCCGCUAUUAUUGGGCCUAAAACGUCCGUAGCCGGUUCUAUAAAUGCCUGGGUAAAUCGUACGGCUUAACCGUACGAAUUCCGGGUAGACUGUUCAACUUGGGACCGGGAGAGGCUAGAGGUACUCCUGGGGUAGAGGUGAAAUUCUGUAAUCCUAGGGGGACCACCAGUGGCGAAGGCGUCUAGCUAGAACGGGUCUGACGGUGAGGGACGAAGCCCUGGGGAGCAAACGGGAUUAGAUACCCCGGUAGUCCAGGGUGUAAACGCUGCUCGCUUGAUGUUAGUCGGGCUCCGAGCCCAACUAGUGUCGGAGAGAAGUUGUUAAGCGAGCUGCCUGGGGAGUACGGUCGCAAGACUGAAACUUAAAGGAAUUGACGG
Molecule: ribosomal RNA, 548 nt
Filed under: uncultured bacterium
Lineage: Bacteria
Description: bacterial SSU rRNA
Rfam family: Archaeal small subunit ribosomal RNA
Source: RNAcentral